Molecule: transfer RNA, 81 nt
Filed under: Lachnellula suecica
Lineage: Eukaryota; Fungi; Ascomycota; Leotiomycetes; Helotiales; Lachnaceae
Rfam family: tRNA
About the family: Transfer RNA (tRNA) molecules are approximately 80 nucleotides in length. Their secondary structure includes four short double-helical elements and three loops (D, anti-codon, and T loops).
Source: Rfam by way of RNAcentral
GACGGUUUGGCUGAGUGGUUAUAGCGUCAAGUUGCUAUCUUGAUUCCUUCGGGAGCGGGAGUUCGAAUCUCUCAGCCGUCU